GAGUUUGAUCCUGGCUCAGAGCGAACGUUGGCGAGAUGUUUUAAACAUGCAAGUCGAGCGGCAGCACUUCGGGUGGCGAGCGGCGAACUGGUGAGUAAUACAUAGGAAUCUACCUAGCAGACUGGAAUAGCCCCUGGAAACAGGGAUUAAUGCCGGAUAUGCCCAUGGGUGAAAGUGGCGUUUGCCACACUGUUAGAUGAGCCUAUGCCCUAUUAGCUAGUUGGUGGGGUAAUAGCCUACCAAGGCGACGAUAGGUAACCGGCCUGAGAGGGUGACCGGUCACAUCGGGACUGAGAUACGGCCCGGACUUCUACGGAAGGCAGCAGUUAAGAAUAUUCCGCAAUGGGCGAAAGCCUGACGGAGCAAUCUCGCGUGGAGGAUGAAGGCCCUUGGGUUGUAAACUCCUUUUGGCAGGGAAGAAUAAGGUAUAUAGGAAAUGAUAUAUCGAUGACGGUACCUGCAGAAUAAGCACCGACUAACUACGUGCCAGCAGUCGCGGUAAUACGUAGGGUGCAAACGUUGCUCGGAAUCACUGGGCGUAAAGGGUACGUAGGCGGUUUGACAAGUCAGUGGUUAAAGAUUGGGGCUCAACUCCAAGAAUGCCAUUGAAACUGUUAGACUAGAGUUGUAUAUAUGGGUGACAGGAAUUCCUAGUGUAGGAGUGAUAUCUGUAGAUAUUAGGAGGAACACCAAUGGCGAAGGCAAGUCACUGAGUAACAACUGACGCUGAGGUACGAAAGCCAGGGGAGCAAAUCGGAUUAGAGACCCGAGUAGUCCUGGCCGUAAACGCUGCACACUAGCUUUAUGGAUUUUUUCCAUGAAGCGUAGCUAACGCAUUAAGUGUGCCGCCUGAGUAGUAUGCACGCAAGUGUGAAACUCAAAGGAAUGACGG
This 892-nucleotide ribosomal RNA is filed under the name uncultured bacterium. RNAcentral describes it as "bacterial SSU rRNA". It matches the Rfam family "Bacterial small subunit ribosomal RNA", at positions 9 to 916 of the family's 1533-position model. The record is from RNAcentral.